UAAAAUAUUAUAAAUUAGGUAGUAAAGAAAAUUCUGAAACCUAAAGAAUUUGGCGGUAUUUUAAAUAAUUGGAGGAAUCUGUCGAUUAAGUGAUAUUCCACAACAAAUCUUUCCUAGUUUUUGUUUGUAUAUCGUCAUUUUUGGACAAUGUUAAAAAACAAUAGUCAUGAUCAAUUUAAGAUUUUAUAAAUUAGAUCAAGGUGCAGCAUAACAAGGUUUUGAUGGAUUACAAUAUUUAUAAAAUAUUUACGAAUAAUAAGAUGAAAAUCUUAUUUGAAGGUGGAUUCAAAAGUAAGGAGAAAAGUAAAGUGUUUUCUUGAAUAAUAAUUUAAAAUAUGC
Molecule: ribosomal RNA, 339 nt
Filed under: Diplocentrus diablo
Lineage: Eukaryota; Metazoa; Arthropoda; Arachnida; Scorpiones; Diplocentridae
Description: partial 12S ribosomal RNA
Source: RNAcentral